UAGGCCCUCCCCCACGCCGAGAGGGCACACGCACCUGGGGGACACUCAGCCUUCCGGCCCCCUCAGGACGGGUGUCCCCCUGGUGUAACUCUCAGGAGGAGUCUCCCUGUCUCCCAAUCUUUGGGAAACAACUGCUGUAGUUGCCACAAGGAUGUGACUGAAAAUGGAAGGGGAGACAAAUCUACAAGAAAAUACCUGCCUAUUACAAUGUGGUCCGCACUUGAAAGAAUGUGAGAACCAGUGCAGUUGGAUACAUUUUCAAGGAAGAUACUAGGGCUGGGUCUACACUAAAAAGUUAAGUCAACCCAGCUAGGUCACUCUGGUGUGAAAAAUUCACACCACAUCCUACAGAGGCAAUGUCUGUACACUUACCAUUUAGAGUGCAAAAAGUCCUUUUUUGUGCUAAAACCGAGGAAGCAUCUACAAGAAAACCACCCUCACGAGGCAUAUAGCUCUUUCCGCUGUUCUUUUUGUGCUGUUGUGAAAGUGAAGAACCGUUCUACCAUUGUAAACACCUUUUGGCCUCCGAAGGAUAUUGCACAGUUCCAAAAGUGACCACUCUGGCCAGCAUCUUUACUGGUCUGACACCAGAAUCCAGGUGGGAGAUGUCACACAACAGUGUACUACCAUGACUGAACUGACAAGGCACGGAACCACGCACUGGCUUGCUAAACCCUUUGAUG
Long non-coding RNA from Gopherus flavomarginatus (Mexican gopher tortoise), 683 nucleotides. RefSeq lists it as uncharacterized. The transcript has 3 exons. NCBI's taxonomy places the organism in Eukaryota, Metazoa, Chordata, Testudines, Testudinidae. The record is from RefSeq and is a predicted model, not a curated record.